RNAcentral lists this small nuclear RNA (291 nucleotides) under Ophiophagus hannah (king cobra). RNAcentral's name for it is "7SK RNA". It matches the Rfam family "7SK RNA". Rfam says of the family: 7SK was discovered as an abundant small nuclear RNA in the mid-70s but a possible function has only recently been suggested. Two independent studies have found that 7SK RNA binds the CDK9/cyclin T complex (known as elongation factor P-TEFb). P-TEFb activates transcription by phosphorylating the C-terminal domain of RNA polymerase II. The record is from Rfam by way of RNAcentral. Lineage: Eukaryota; Metazoa; Chordata; Lepidosauria; Squamata; Elapidae.
GGAUGUGAGGGUGAUCUGACUGCAACAUCUGUCACCCCAUUGAUCGCCAGAGUUGAUUCGGCUGAUCUGGCUGGCUAGGGGGGUGUCCCCUUCCUCCCUCACCGCUCCAUGUGCAUCCCUCCCAAAGCUGCACACUCGGUGGAAGAGGACGACCAUCCCAGAUAGGAGUGUACCGAUCUUCCGUCAAGGGUAUACGAUAGCUGCACUCCCCUGCUAGAACCUCCAAACAAGCUCAAGAGGGAGCAUUAGAAACCAUUAAAAACAUAUGAAGAUUAUCUCCUAGAUGCAUCU